RNAcentral lists this ribosomal RNA (468 nucleotides) under uncultured bacterium. RNAcentral's name for it is "partial 16S ribosomal RNA". It matches the Rfam family "Bacterial small subunit ribosomal RNA", at positions 28 to 507 of the family's 1533-position model. The record is from RNAcentral.
GACGAACGCUGGCGGCGUGCUUAACACAUGCAAGUCGAACGGAAAGGCCCUGCUUUUGUGGGGUGCUCGAGUGGCGAACGGGUGAGUAACACGUGAGUAACCUGCCCUUUACUUUGGGAUAACUUCAGGAAACUGGGGCUAAUACCGGAUAGGAGCUCCUGCUGCAUGGUGGGGGUUGGAAAGUUUCGGCGGUUGGGGAUGGACUCGCGGCUUAUCAGCUUGUUGGUGGGGUAGUGGCUUACCAAGGCUUUGACGGGUAGCCGGCCUGAGAGGGUGACCGGCCACAUUGGGACUGAGAUACGGACCAGACUCCUACGGGAGGCAGCAGUGGGGAAUAUUGCACAAUGGGCGGAAGCCUGAUGCAGCAACGCCGCGUGCGGGAUGACGGCCUUCGGGUUGUAAACCGCUUUCGCCUGUGACGAAGCGUGAGUGACGGUAAUGGGUAAAGAAGCACCGGCUAACUACGUG